Long non-coding RNA from Anopheles merus, 1242 nucleotides. RefSeq lists it as uncharacterized. The record is from RefSeq and is a predicted model, not a curated record. NCBI's taxonomy places the organism in Eukaryota, Metazoa, Arthropoda, Insecta, Diptera, Culicidae. The transcript has 4 exons.
CCUCACCACCGAUCUCCUUCCUACCCCUCGCCUAAGAUCGUCUGACGUCUCGCCUGACUGCUUUCGUUGUGUUGGUGCUCUGCGGCUGCUGUCACUGUAGAAAUUAGGUUGUGUGUGUAAAAAAACGUAAACAGUGUUGUUGGCUGAUCAAUUUUGGUAAGUUUUUUAAUAAUUAAGUUCUUAAUUUUACGUAAGUAAGUGCCAUUUUAGCUAAAGUAAGUGGUAGAAGUCCUCCCCAAUGCGUGCUGGCUCCGUCGGAAGCGAUACGUGUAUGUACCGGCGUAGAAAAGUGGCGUGAUGAACAACACAGCACAAGACAGCGGAUAUAAUGCAGAAAUGAUAUGGGCCUGCCGCAGGUGUUUGCGACUGUGCGUUGCGUUGUGGUGUAUGAUUCGCCAAUUUUCCUCUAUCCUGGAACGUGGGCUUACGAUGAACCAUUAAAGAACAUCCUCCGGGAGCUGUACGGCGACGAAUCGAGCUCUACCAGCACAGCACGCUAGAGACCCAUCCGGCACCGGGUGCCCCGAUUGCGCCGUCAGACGGUGUCGAGCGCGCUCGUUCACAACGUUCGGGGCAGGAAUUCAACCCUUCGGAUCUGCAUUAUCCGCUGCCCCACAAUAGCUGCAGCAGCAACAGGACCGAACCGACCGCACUACUGAUUGCGGUCAAAUUUCCUGGCAGGAGAAAAAAAAACCCCACGAGUGUAUCGAUUUCAUCGACGGCCGCUCGCUGGCAGCACCAACAUGCCACCGAAUAACCCCGGAAAGGCGACAAACACUCAUCUCCAGCGGCAAAUUGGUAACAUUAACCCACUUUCGCACAUCUAUACGACGUCACGUUAAUAGUGUUAUUGUGUAAAUUGUAAAAAAAAUACGUUAAUGAGUUAAGAUUAAUCUUAAGUGCGCUUUAAGGCAUACAUCGAUAUGCCUAAUUUUAGGUUAAGUGUUUUGAAAUGCGCGUGUGUGCGAAGGGUCGAAAUGAGCGCUAAGCAAACUAAGCGGCCGCGUAGGGCCCCGUCGUCUUGAGGGGCCCCAAAAAAGGAACCCAUCCCCCGCUCGCAAGUUAAAUUGAUACUCAAUCCUUCUCUAGUUUAGAAUAUUUCCCUGCUAGACGCUUAAACCAAACUUACAUUUAUGCGACUGCUUAGGGCAUCCACUCGUAUGUGCGGUUUUUACAUAACAUUUAAGAUAAAUAAAUCUAGUUUCUUCUUCUUCUUUGGCUCAACAACCGAUGCCGGUCAAG